This 1064-nucleotide long non-coding RNA is filed under the name Gossypium barbadense (sea-island cotton). RNAcentral describes it as "long non-coding RNA (GBAR_LNC006460)". The record is from RNAcentral. Lineage: Eukaryota; Viridiplantae; Streptophyta; Magnoliopsida; Malvales; Malvaceae.
GUUCUUCUCAAAUGCCAUAAAUGUGCCGUCCAUGUGAGGGAAUGUGCCUCUUCGUGGAGAUUAAAAAGCUAUGACUCCUCACAUUUAUUUGGCAGCCCAUUUCUCUUCCCCAAGUUGGCCUUUGAGCUCCCCAAGCAUCCAUAAGAGCUUUCACACAAGUUAGACGAAUUUAGGCCAAUCUAAACAAUUCUAUUCAGCCAUUUCAGCUCAACCAUCACCUCAUUAAUUCAAGGCUAUUAGAAGACAUCAAAUGGCUGUCCAUUGACGUCUCCAAAGCUGGGAAUCUUCAAGAAAGCUUCAAGGGACGUUCUAGGAAGCUACAUGAAAUUUUCAAUUCAUUUGCUUUGAAAAUAAGCUGACUUUUUAGCUGCUCAAGUGUCCAUUCGGCUAGCCUAGGAAUUUUGCUAUAAAUGUUUGCUUUGUAAUUGUUUUGGGGCUAGACAAUAUACUUUUAAACUUUAUAUGAAAUAUGAUUACUUUGUGAGUUUGUUUUCAACUCUCAUUGUUCUCCAAAGACUCGUCUGACUUAUCAAGUAACCCUUGUGGCGUCAACCCGUCUUUCUAUCUGAACUUAUCACUUUAAUCCCGAAAGUGUGGCGUUCGAUUCGUACUGACGUUCCUAUCAUCAUUGAUAGCGGGUCGAAGUUUCUAUCCACUUAACAAACCUUCCAUCAACACCCUACCAACCUAAGCAUUCUCCUAAGUUACGGGUUAAGACACUCCUAUUGUGUUAGUUCGGCUUUGAAUACUUAGCCCAAACUUCAUCCAUUGAUUUAUGUUUCAUUUCCUAAACCAGCAAAACUCUUUUGAGCCUAAAUAAUUCCUUUUCUUCUAGCCUAUUUUGUAAAGCUUUCAAAUUACUCCAAUUCACGAUCGGGCACAUCUACGACUCGACUCUCAUCACCGAGGUCGGGGCGCAUCACAAGGUUUCUACAAAUUCAUGCAUGUGUCGAAUUCAUGUAUGGACAUUAAAGGCUGGUCCAUGAAUGGAUCAAAUGCAUGGGAUGAUAGAAUGCAUGAAUGGCUUAAGUGCAUGUAUGGUGACUGUCUCCUAACUUUCCAAG